CCUACGGGAGGCAGCAGUGAGGAAUAUUGGUCAAUGGCCGGAAGGCUGAACCAGCCAAGCCGCGUGAAGGACGAAGGUGCCAAGCAUUGUAAACUUCUUUUGUCAAGGGACAAAAUCAGGCUCGAGAGCCUGACCGAGGGUACUUGAAGAAACAGCAUCGGCUAACUCCGUGCCAGCAGCCGCGGUAAUACGGAGGAUGCGAGCGUUAUCCGGAUUUAUUGGGUUUAAAGGGUGCGUAGGCGGACUGUUAAGUCAGCGGUAAAAGCCCGGGGCUCAACCCCGGCGAGCCGUUGAAACUGGCUGUCUUGAGUGAAGUAGAGGUUGGCGGAAUUCCGAGUGUAGCGGUGAAAUGCGUAGAUAUUCGGAGGAACACCGGUGGCGAAGGCGGCCAACUGGGCUUUAACUGACGCUGAGGCUCGAAAGUGUGGGGAGCAAACAGGAUUAGAUACCCGGGUAGUC
This 459-nucleotide ribosomal RNA is filed under the name uncultured bacterium. Its description in RNAcentral is "partial 16S ribosomal RNA". It matches the Rfam family "Bacterial small subunit ribosomal RNA", at positions 338 to 795 of the family's 1533-position model. The record is from RNAcentral.